Molecule: long non-coding RNA, 796 nt
Filed under: Physcomitrium patens
Lineage: Eukaryota; Viridiplantae; Streptophyta; Bryopsida; Funariales; Funariaceae
Description: long non-coding RNA (PPAT_LNC004140)
Source: RNAcentral
AUUUAGGGUUUGAAUUAGGGUUUGGAUUAGGAUUUAGAGUUUGGUUAGGAUUUAAUUUAAGUUUUGGAUUAGGAUUUGAGUAGGGUUUGAUUUAGGGUUUGGAUUAGGAUUUAGGAUUUGGUUAGGGUUUAGGAUUGGAUUAGGGUUUGGAUUAGGGUUUAGGAUUUGGAUAGGGUUUGAUUUAGGAUUUGGAUUAGGAUUUGAAUUAGGGUUUAAGGUUUGGUUUAGGGUUUAGGAUUUGGAUUAGGGUUUAGGAUUAAAUUAGAGUUUGGAUUAGGAUUUAGGACUUGGUUUAGGGUUUGAUUUAGGAUUUGGUUUAGAAUUUAGGGUUUGAAAUAGGGUUUGAUUUAGGAUUUAAUUUAAGGUUUGUUUAGGAUUUGACUUAGGGUUUAGGAUUUAUUAUUAUUUAAGAUUUAAUUAAGUUUGGUCUAAAGUUUGAGUGAAAUUCAAUAGGGUUUUAAUUAGAAUUAAAUUAAGGUUGAAUUGAUAUAUAUUUGAAUAAUAUUUGUAAUCAUUCUAAUAUUUCUUUAAGAAUUUUAUUGUUUGUUUGAAAUUUCUUUGAAUUGUUUUAAAUUUGAUUACGUUUGUUUACCAUUAUUAUAGUCUAAUUAGAGCAUUAUUAGUAUUCUAUUAGAAUUAGGAUUUUGUUAUCGCAAUUUUUAUUCUUCCUUCUACAUCCGGGUGCCCAGAGCAUUCUCAAGUAAGACUUCACACAUUAUGACAACAGACUCAACAAAUCAAGCUUCAGAUGAUACCCAUAGUUGGAAAAGAAUGGUGUUUAUUGAGUCGAUGCAUG